This 460-nucleotide ribosomal RNA is filed under the name uncultured bacterium. RNAcentral describes it as "partial 16S ribosomal RNA". It matches the Rfam family "Bacterial small subunit ribosomal RNA", at positions 338 to 795 of the family's 1533-position model. The record is from RNAcentral.
CCUACGGGUGGCAGCAGUGAGGAAUAUUGGACAAUGGACGAGAGUCUGAACCAGCCAAGUAGCGUGAAGGAUGACUGCCCUAUGGGUUGUAAACUUCUUUUAUAAAGGAAUAAAACGAGGCACGUGUGCCUUUUUGCAUGUACUUUAUGAAUAAGGAUCGGCUAACUCCGUGCCAGCAGCCGCGGUAAUACGGAGGAUCCGAGCGUUGUCCGGAUUUAUUGGGUUUAAAGGGAGCGUAGAUGGGUUGUUAAGUCAGUUGUGAAAGUUUGCGGCUCAACCGUAAAAUUGCAAUUGAUACUGGCAGUCUUGAGUACAGUUGAGGUAGGCGGAAUUCGUGGUGUAGCGGUGAAAUGCUUAGAUAUCACGAAGAACACCGAUUGCGAAGGCAGCUUACUAAACUGUGACUGACAUUGAUGCUCGAAAGUGUGGGUAGCAAACAGGAUUAGAUACCCUGGUAGUC